GACGAACGCUGGCGGCGUGCCUAAUACAUGCAAGUAGAACGCUGAAGGAGGAGCUUGCUUCUCUGGAUGAGUUGCGAACGGGUGAGUAACGCGUAGGUAACCUGCCUGGUAGCGGGGGAUAACUAUUGGAAACGAUAGCUAAUACCGCAUAAUAGUAGAUGUUGCAUGACAUUUGCUUAAAAGGUGCAAUUGCAUCACUACCAGAUGGACCUGCGUUGUAUUAGCUAGUUGGUGGGGUAACGGCUCACCAAAGCGACGAUACAUAGCCGACCUGAGAGGGUGAUCGGCCACACUGGGACUGAGACACGGCCCAGACUCCUACGGGAGGCAGCAGUAGGGAAUCUUCGGCAAUGGACGGAAGUCUGACCGAGCAACGCCGCGUGAGUGAAGAAGGUUGUCGGAUCGUAAAGCUCUGUUGUAAGAGAAGAACGAGUGUGAGAGUGGAAAGUUCACACUGUGACGGUAGCUUACCAGAAAGGGACGGCUAACUACGUG
RNAcentral lists this ribosomal RNA (495 nucleotides) under uncultured bacterium. Its description in RNAcentral is "partial 16S ribosomal RNA". It matches the Rfam family "Bacterial small subunit ribosomal RNA", at positions 28 to 507 of the family's 1533-position model. The record is from RNAcentral.